This 501-nucleotide ribosomal RNA is filed under the name uncultured bacterium. RNAcentral's name for it is "partial 16S ribosomal RNA". It matches the Rfam family "Bacterial small subunit ribosomal RNA", at positions 30 to 523 of the family's 1533-position model. The record is from RNAcentral.
AUUGAACGCUGGCGGCAUGCCUUACACAUGCAAGUCGAGCGGAGCGAGGGUGCUUGCACCUUAGCUUAGCGGCGGACGGGUGAGUAAUGCUUAGGAAUCUGCCUAUUAGUGGGGGACAACAUUCCGAAAGGGAUGCUAAUACCGCAUACGCCCUACGGGGGAAAGCAGGGGAUCUUCGGACCUUGCGCUAAUAGAUGAGCCUAAGUCGGAUUAGCUAGUUGGUGGGGUAAAGGCCUACCAAGGCGACGAUCUGUAGCGGGUCUGAGAGGAUGAUCCGCCACACUGGGACUGAGACACGGCCCAGACUCCUACGGGAGGCAGCAGUGGGGAAUAUUGGACAAUGGGCGGAAGCCUGAUCCAGCCAUGCCGCGUGUGUGAAGAAGGCCUUUUGGUUGUAAAGCACUUUAAGCGAGGAGGAGGCUACUAGUAUUAAUACUACUGGAUAGUGGACGUUACUCGCAGAAUAAGCACCGGCUAACUCUGUGCCAGCCGCCGCGGUAA